ACUGCCGGGGUUUAAAGGCCUUAGGAGUGGACGAAGCCGUAUAUUCUUCAAUCGUAGUACCGGAAGUCAUUGCGAAGUUGCCGGACGCUUUUCCCAUUGACAAUAACAAGAGGUUCGAUUUCACGGAAUGGUCAAUGAAAGAUACGUUGAACGCAAUUCUUAAAGAGUUGGAGCUUCGAGAAGCUCACACACCGAUCGGUGCGAAAACCAAGAGACAGGAUGGGAAGAAACAACGAGAAACGUCGAGACAAAGACAUAUGGGGUCAGAAUCAACACUGCACUCGAAGCACGAGAGUUGCAACGAGGAGUCAACGAACGGUAAAGCGAAAAGAAAAUGCGUUUAUUGUCUCGGGGAACACAAUCCAGAGGAAUGUAAGAAAAUAACCAAUGUAACUGAGAGAAAACAACUCAUUCGUAUAUUUAACUACAAGCUGUUUCUGGUAAUCUGAAUUGAUUUGUAAAGUGGCAAAAGUUAAGUUUAUCAAAAUCACAAGUCAAAACGAUUCCACACCCAGAAUACAAAAAUGUUCAUUGCUGUAAUUGAAUUGAAUAAUUAGUUUAUAAUUAGUUAAUCGGUCUAAUUUUAACCCGAAGAGCCUCAAACGUGACAGAAUUAUAUUAGAAUUUCUGCUGUACACCACUAUGUGGUCCAAAAUCUCUGUUUUUACAAAUCAGAAAUCAAAGAUUUUCAGUUUUUUUAGUGCUAUGAAUUUGCAUGUAUCACCUUAGCGUCAACAGCUCGACGAAAGAUAAUUGCAACGUUACAAAACGACUAAAUGUUAAAAAAAAACGACCAAAUAUUUAAAACAUUCAAUGAUGGCAUGCAUGAGUCCAUUUGCAAUUUCAAACUAAAUUUUCUUCCUGAUUCAUAAAUGUCAUUUCAUACUAUCACAAGUAUAAUGAAAUAACACAUAUUUUAUAAAUAUACCGUCCGGACCCAAAGAUGAAUAUAAUUGCAUGCUAGCAAGCAAUUUCAAUUCCUUGGCAAACAAACACAUCACGAUAAACAGGCCUUCCUUUCGAUGGCAGUAAUUAUUUUUCGUAAUUAAAUUGUUUCUAUUUGCAACUUCGUUUGUUUGGUAUACAAUUACAGGAUUACAAAUUGCUACGGGUAUCUAUGAUGUAUAUUUCAUAGUACUAAGGUGUGACUAAUAUUUAGUCAAAAUAUAUUAAUUAAAUAUGAGAAAUAUUUUGUAUUCAAGGUCACAUUUAUACAUCGUAAACACACAUGAUAAUUCUUUAUCUUUUGUCUUACAAACCUUUUGCUGGUCGACGGUUGGAACUUUGAACAUUCAAUCUUUCAGAUAAAUUUAAAGUUCUGAAAAGUUAAGCGUCAAAUGUCAGCGUCGUUUGAGUUGAUACGUGGCCAUUAAUUUUGUGCAACUUAAUUUUAAACAUUUAAAUCUUAUUGUUAUGUAAAGCAAAGAUACGGCCUUAUGAUUUUUAUUGUUUCUGUUACCAUGUUUAAAUGUUAUUACCGUUUCCUAGGUAUUUUGUAGAUAAAGACAUUGUAUUACAUGCAGACAUAUGUGCAGAAAAUGCUAACCGACGGGCUUUUUAUCAAGAAACAAAAUUUGAACUUCUAGAUGGCAUUGCAGAAGGAAACACAAGUGGGGAUGUCACUGAGGAUGUGAGUUUGGAUACUGGUGUGAAGUCAAUUUCAGAUAUUCUUGAACCGUUAGUGAAAAAUCUCAAAGCACAAUCUAGAAUAAAUAUACGUUGAACGCAAUUCUUAAAGAGUUGGAGCUUCGAGAAGCUCACACACCGAUCGGUGCGAAAACCAAGAGACAAGAUGAGGAGAAACAACGAGAAACGUCGAGACAAAGACAUAUGGGGUCAGAAUCAACACUGCACUCGAAGCACGAGAGUUGCAACGAGGAGUCAACGAACGGUAAAGCGAAAAGAAAAUGCGUUUAUUGUCUUGGGGAACACAAACCUGAGGAAUGUAAGAAAAUAACCAAGGUACCUGAGAAAAACAACUCAUUCGUAAGUACGGAAGAUGUUUUAUUUGUUUGAAGAAAGGACAUGUCAGUAAGAAUUGUAAUAGUAAUGAUAAAUGUAAUGCAUGUGAGAAGGCACACCAUAGGUCAAUUUGUGAAGCCAACGGGAUUCUUACAGGCGAUGUUCAAACCAAGCAUUCUAUUCUGGGAUCUCAUUAUAGGGUAACAUUACAGACAGCACAGUCUUUUAUUAAGGGAGCUAAGGGACGUGUUUGGGUCAGAGUGUUGUUUGAUUCAGGAAGUCACAAGUCGUUUGUGAAUAGAAAGAUUAUACAGGGAGCAGGUAUUCAGGCUAGUAGAAAGGAUUGGAUAGAAAUCAAGUUGUUUGGUCAAGAGAAGGCUAAAGGUAAGUUGCCAGAGGUAUUUCAAUUAGAGUUGUCAUCAGUUACACGGGGAGAGAGUGUAAGCAUCAAGGCAUACAGUGUAGACUGUAGACGGUACAGUAUAGUACAGUAUAGUAUAGUAUGUACAGUGUAGACUGUAUAUCUCAAAUUAGGAAUGCAUAUGUAGAGUUGAGAAAGAUGGAUUAUUCACAUUUAAAGGGUCUGUGGUUUUCAGAUGUUUGCAAGGAUAAGGAAGUUUUAGAUAUUGAAGUUUUGAAUGGAGCAAAUUAUCUUUGGUGGUUUCAAGAAGACAAUGUUGUUCGGGGACAGGUAGAUGAACCUGUUGCUGUGUCUACUAAGUUAGGUUGGGUGUUGUCUGGUCCCAUGAAAGCAAGAAAUGAUUUGGAUAACAUGCACACUCAAGUGAACUUCAUUGCGCAUGAAAGUUCAGGAAAUUUAAGUUUAGAUAAGAAUGUCAACCGUUUGUCGGAUUUUGAAACUUUAGGAAUAGCAGAGGAAGAUGUAUAGACAUAGUUUAGAUUAUACAAAUUACAGCAUAAGCUUGAGAAGAUUAAAGGGUCAGUUAGUAUAGCUGAAAAGGGAACCA
Xenia sp. Carnegie-2017 is the source of this 2930-nucleotide RNA transcript. RefSeq lists it as uncharacterized. NCBI's taxonomy places the organism in Eukaryota, Metazoa, Cnidaria, Anthozoa, Malacalcyonacea, Xeniidae. The record is from RefSeq and is a predicted model, not a curated record. The transcript has 3 exons.